GAUGAACGCUGGCUGUGUGCCUAAUACAUGCAUGUCGAGCGAAGUGAUUUAUCACUUAGCGGCGAAUGGGUGAGUAACACGUACUCAACGUACCCUUCAGUUUGGCAUAGCGGUUGGAAACAACCGAUAAUUCCAAAUACUCGUAGAUGCCGCAUGGCAUUUACGGAAAAGACGCCUUAAAGCGUCGCUGGAGGAGCGGGGUGCGCAACAUUAGCUAGUUGGUGAGGUAACGGCUCACCAAGUCAUUGACGCGUAGCUGUACUGAGAGGUAGAACAGCCACAAUGGGACUGAGACACGGCCCAU
RNAcentral lists this ribosomal RNA (304 nucleotides) under uncultured bacterium. RNAcentral describes it as "partial 16S ribosomal RNA". It matches the Rfam family "Bacterial small subunit ribosomal RNA", at positions 28 to 334 of the family's 1533-position model. The record is from RNAcentral.